This is a small nucleolar RNA of Xyrauchen texanus (razorback sucker), 137 nucleotides long. RefSeq annotates it as small nucleolar RNA SNORA15. Lineage: Eukaryota; Metazoa; Chordata; Actinopteri; Cypriniformes; Catostomidae. The transcript has a single exon. The record is from RefSeq and is a predicted model, not a curated record.
GCAUGGCUGAAUUCUGUGUUACUCUGCCAAUAGUAAAUGCAGUCAGACACCAUGCAAAAUCAGCACACUCUCUGCUUCUGAAUAGUGAUGAAACUCAGUAUAUUCAAGUCUCAUCACAUAUGCAGGAGAGAGUACAU